Molecule: ribosomal RNA, 254 nt
Filed under: uncultured bacterium
Lineage: Bacteria
Description: partial 16S ribosomal RNA
Rfam family: Bacterial small subunit ribosomal RNA
Source: RNAcentral
UACGUAGGGUGCGAGCGUUUAAUCGGAAUUACUGGGCGUAAAGUGUGCGCAGGCGGCCGCGCAAGUCGAGUGUGAAAGCCCCGAGCUUAACUUGGGAAUUGCGCUCGAAACUACGUGGCUGGAGUGUGGCAGAGGAAGGUGGAAUUCCACGUGUAGCGGUGAAAUGCGUAGAGAUGUGGAGGAACACCGAUGGCGAAGGCAGCCUUCUGGGCCAACACUGACGCUCAUGCACGAAAGCGUGGGGAGCAAACAGG